GUCUUGUUCCUUGGCCGGAAGGUCUGGGUAAUCCGCUGAACCUCUGCCGUGAUGGGGAUAGGGAAUUGCAAUUAUUUCCCUUGAACGAGGAAUUCCCAGUAAGCGCGAGUCAUCAGCUCGCGUUGAUUA
RNAcentral lists this ribosomal RNA (129 nucleotides) under uncultured eukaryote. RNAcentral describes it as "partial 18S ribosomal RNA". It matches the Rfam family "Eukaryotic small subunit ribosomal RNA", at positions 1519 to 1647 of the family's 1831-position model. The record is from RNAcentral.